RNAcentral lists this long non-coding RNA (1109 nucleotides) under Malus domestica (apple). RNAcentral describes it as "long non-coding RNA (MDOM_LNC018082)". Lineage: Eukaryota; Viridiplantae; Streptophyta; Magnoliopsida; Rosales; Rosaceae. The record is from RNAcentral.
AUUGUAGUGAGUAAUUAAUGGAUGAUGGAAACAAUUAAUUGGAUUAAUUAUGUGUUGUGAUUAAUUUAGAAAGUCUAAAGAAAUCAUAAAAGCGAUAAAGAUCGCUUUGGGCUUAAAGAAACGUUCGGGUUUAAUUGGGCCCAUUGGGCCUAAACCCAUUGGGCUUUUAUUCAAGCAUUGGAUGACUUGAAAUAAAUGAAAGCCCAAAGCCCAAACAACACAAAGAGGGCCGGCCACUUUAGGUGGAAAGGGUGAGAUAUUUAGUCAAGUUGUUGACUAGGUUUCUUUUGUCUAUAUAAGGAACUUUAUAAGAUAUUGUUCAUAAGGGUUUUUGUGUGGUUAAAAACAACAAAGAGGCAAAAGAAUAUCUCUCUAAGAACUACACAAAGGCCCACCACCUUGGGGUGAUUUUACUAACAUAUCUUUCACCCUUUGGUUAUUCCUUCAUCCUUCUCACUACACUAGUGGGUGAGGAUCUUUAGAGGUUUCCUACUUUGGAAACUUGAAGAGAACCUAGGAGCACUCAUUCUAUCAAAGUGGAGGAGGCAAGGAGGGAAGCUAGGCUCAAGGAGUUCAAGGAACAAAGGGCUUGGAGGUGGUCCAUCCUUGGUCUCAAGUCUAGAUCGAGAGGUAUAAGACUAAACCUUCACUUUGUUCUUUUCUCUAAAAUUUUAUUUGAUGCAUUAUAUAUAAACCUAUGAACCUUGAAGGGGAUUUGCAUGACUAUAGCUUUGAUAAUUUGUUUUAAAUGCUUCCGCUGCUUUCGUAUAUUAAAUUUGAUUUGUAUAUGCAUGAUAGUCAUUUAGAAAUCCCAUCCAUGAAUCUCAUAGAUUUCCCUUCAAAUUGGGCAUUGACAAUCCGCUAAGGUUAGUAUGUGUUAUGUCAACUCAAGCAUGAGUAUGACUUGUCUUAAGUCAUUUAGUGUUGGACACUAAGACAAACACAUAGGUGCUCGAAAGAGUAAUCGAGUACACUGAACAACGAUCAAAAGAGAGUUCGAACAUACAUGUCAUGUAAGAACUCGAUAGUUGCAAUAUGCAAAGUAGUCCUUUGACCUGAGGCAUCAUAAAUGUCUAAUGGUUAGGUCCAUGCCUUUGUGCUUUCUACUA